CUACCCCCACCUCUCCCGCCGCCACCCCAUCGUCACAGCCCCCAGCCCCCACCUCCACCUCUCCAGCCGCCACCCCAUCAUCACCGCCCCCAGCCUCCACCCCUCCCUCUACAAGUCCUCCUUCACCUCCCACCACCACCCCGCCUUCUCCGACAGGCUCCCCCACCCCUCCUCCGCCGCCAGGGAGCUCGGCCACCUCUUUGAGCGUCGCUGGCUUGUUUUCGGGGAUUUUGUCGAUCGCCGUAGUGUUGUUGUACUAGAUUAACUCAGCGAUCUUUUUUCCUACCCUUUUUUACAGGGCUCUUAUGAUUCGUUAUUGUGAGUUGCUUUUCUGGAAUCGAGACACGUUCUUGUUGAUCGUCAUUGAUUUUAUACGAUAAAAUCCAUUUUUCCGUGAACUACGUACUAGACUAGCUAGACAACUGAAUGUGAACUCAGCUCAAUUUUAUCAAACCUUCUCGAAGUCAAAGUUGUCGACCGGCUGAUCUAAGUCGAUCCCUCAGGAAAAAUAAUUCAACGUUUGGCUUUGACCCGGCACUAUGAUUUUGAGCAAUCGAAUUGCCCAAUCACAGGUCGACAGAUGUGUUUAGCAAAGGACGAUCCAUUCGCACGUUCGACCAAACCCUCACCAAACUCUUGCAAGUGGUUGUGCCUAUCCUAUCGCUAUCUUUCGACCAAAAAAAUAAAAAAAAAAUAAUCCUGUCGCUAUUUGCCAACAAUGUCUUGACAAGUGGCUAAAAGAAGUCCAUGUGAUUUUACUUG
RNAcentral lists this long non-coding RNA (762 nucleotides) under Eucalyptus grandis. RNAcentral's name for it is "long non-coding RNA (EGRA_LNC002088)". Lineage: Eukaryota; Viridiplantae; Streptophyta; Magnoliopsida; Myrtales; Myrtaceae. The record is from RNAcentral.